CUCGCAGCUUCGCCAGAAGCUACGAAGGGGGGCCUCGCCCCGGGAAGGGGAGAGUGGCCGAGUGGUUAAAAGCGACAGACUGUAAAUCUGUUGAAGUUUUUCUACGUAGGUUCGAAUCCUGCCUCUCCCACUUGUUGUAGACUUCAGAGAAGAGAAAAGGGGCAUUCGUCAGCGUAGGAAGGCCAACCGAGCGAAGCUCC
RNAcentral lists this transfer RNA (200 nucleotides) under Helianthus annuus (common sunflower). RNAcentral's name for it is "hypothetical non coding rna". The stretch from base 48 to 130 matches the Rfam family "tRNA". Lineage: Eukaryota; Viridiplantae; Streptophyta; Magnoliopsida; Asterales; Asteraceae. The record is from RNAcentral.